Molecule: unclassified non-coding RNA, 351 nt
Filed under: Hevea brasiliensis (rubber tree)
Lineage: Eukaryota; Viridiplantae; Streptophyta; Magnoliopsida; Malpighiales; Euphorbiaceae
Source: RNAcentral
GAUAAGCGAGGAAACAUUUCUCGGUUUAUCAAUGGCAUAAAUAACCAUUCACCGGAGGGUAAGAAGAAGCAGAACCUGAAAUGUGUGAGAUACAGUGUAAAGGGCGCAUGUCAUGUUCUUCUGGUUACAAUUCGUGAUAUCGCCAAGGGAGAGCGGCUGUACUAUGAUUACAAUGGAUACGAGCAUGAAUAUCCAACACAUCAUUUUGUUUAAAAUGUCGUAUGUAGCUUUCCUAGUGAGCUUAGGAUCAGCAGAUCUUUCUUCUUCAUAACUAUACAACUAGUUCAGAUCAAAACCUUUUUUCCCUUAGUGUCAAGGUGAAUGCUGGCCAUUUAGAUGGAAGAAGAUACA